UACGGGGGGGGCAAGCGUUGUUCGGAAUUACUGGGCGUAAAGGGCUCGUAGGUGGUCAACUAAGUCGGACGUGAAAUCCCUCGGCUUAACCGGGGAACUGCGUCCGAUACUGGAUGACUUGAGUUCGGGAGAGGGAUGCGGAAUUCCAGGUGUAGCGGUGAAAUGCGUAGAUAUCUGGAGGAACACCGGUGGCGAAGGCGGCAUCCUGGACCGACACUGACGCUGAUGAGCGAAAGCUAGGGGAGCAAACGGG
RNAcentral lists this ribosomal RNA (253 nucleotides) under uncultured bacterium. RNAcentral describes it as "partial 16S ribosomal RNA". It matches the Rfam family "Bacterial small subunit ribosomal RNA", at positions 524 to 776 of the family's 1533-position model. The record is from RNAcentral.